This 253-nucleotide ribosomal RNA is filed under the name uncultured bacterium. RNAcentral describes it as "partial 16S ribosomal RNA". It matches the Rfam family "Bacterial small subunit ribosomal RNA", at positions 524 to 776 of the family's 1533-position model. The record is from RNAcentral.
UACAGAGGUGGCAAGCGUUGUUCGGAAUUACUGGGCGUAAAGGGCGCGUAGGCGGCCUACUAAGUCAGACGUGAAAUCCCCCGGCUUAACCUGGGAACUGCGUCUGAUACUGGAAGGCUUGAGUAUGGGAGAGGGAUGUAGAAUUCCAGGUGUAGCGGUGAAAUGCGUAGAUAUCUGGAGGAACACCGGUGGCGAAGGCGGCGUUCUGGACUGCAUCUGACACUGAGGAACGAAAGCCAGGGGAGCAAACGGG